RNAcentral lists this long non-coding RNA (844 nucleotides) under Heterocephalus glaber (naked mole-rat). Its description in RNAcentral is "lncRNA (ENSHGLG00100047317.1)". The record is from RNAcentral. Lineage: Eukaryota; Metazoa; Chordata; Mammalia; Rodentia; Bathyergidae.
AGGUCCAACAACAUUUUAUUCUGCAACUUUAUUUUCUACAGUUCCUUUUUAAAUCAGAGAGAAGAGGUAUUCCCUUAUUGAGACUUGUAAAGUCAUAGAGUGUCUGGAGAUUUACUGCCUCCAUUACGCUGCUGGAUCUCACGACACUUGUUAUGUUUUCAUUAUUUUCUCUGCAGAAGGCAGCUAGCUGAACCACUGAGCUAAAUCCCCGGCCCAAAAAGUAAGAACUGUUUUUGUUUUUGUUUUUGUUUUUGUUUGGUACCAGGGAUCAAACUCGGGACCAUGAACUUUCAAGGUAGGCAGUAGAACCACUAAGCUAAAUCCCCGACCCUGUCGUAGGUUUCUGACCUUGGGAACUGUAUCUAGUCCUUGGCCCCUUUAUUUCUGGCUCCUUCCAUGCUCUCUGCUUUCCUGAUGCCAUGAACUGAGCAGCUUUCUUCCAUCAUGCCCUUCCAUCAUACUCUUUCUGCUUUGGAGCAAGCUAACAAUGGACGGAAACCUCUGAAACCAUGAGCCAGUAUAAACCUUUUCUCCUUUAAGCUGUAUAUACCAGGCAUUUUUUUCCCCACCAAGAGAGGUUACUAAUUAAAAUAGAGUAUAUGUUCAGUGAAUGACUGAACUUAUCCAAUAUGUAGCUGUUGCAACUUUGUGCAGGAUCCAGACGAUGAUGCAAGAAGGGCUGUAUCAUCUAAUAAGACAUUGGGAGCUAACUGUGCCUUUUUUUUUUUUUUUUUUUUUGGUACUGGGUAUCGAACUCAGGUCCUUGCGCUUGCGCAGAAGGCGGCGAAACCACUGAGCUAAAUCCCCGGCCCCAACUGUGCUUAUUUUUAGUGUAUGUGCUGCC